CUGGAGUUUGAAUCAGGAGCUGGUCCUAUGAAGAAAGGUUCUGGGAAAGUCUUUCUGGAGGGAGCCUCAGCAAUAUCAAGCUCCUGAGGAAGUGGAGACAUGUACAGCCGUCAGCCGAAGGCCUGGAGGACAGAAUUGCAGGAAAGAAGUGCUGAUACACAGUACAGCGUGGAUGAACUGGGAAAACAUAGCGCUCAGUGAAAGAAGCCGGACACUAAAGACCACAAGGCCCAUCACCUGCCCACUGCACAAAGGACUCUUGGCCCCAGCAGCCAAAGCAGCAGCCGUCAGCCUGGAUUCAGAAGCCCUGGGUUCUGGUGAGUCGUUGGGCUCUGUCCUUCACUGCAGUACCAGGCAAGUCUC
Molecule: long non-coding RNA, 363 nt
Organism: Pteropus alecto (black flying fox)
Lineage: Eukaryota; Metazoa; Chordata; Mammalia; Chiroptera; Pteropodidae
Exons: 4
Source: RefSeq, a predicted model, not a curated record